GCCAGUGAAAGUCCCCAACAUUUCAUAAAUGUGCAGCUGAAGUCCACCUGGACAGAAAUCGUUCAUUGUUCCGUUAGUUGACCAAAAAUUGGAAAAACUGAUCAAUUUUGACCAAAUUGAAAAAGGCAAAAUGGUACCUUUUUUUUCAUAUCAAAUAUAAAAUAAGUUAUUUAAUUAAAUUAAAAAACCAUAAAAUAAAUAUAAAUAAUAUACAAACCCAUCAAAACAUUUCUCCUCCUUCUUCAGCGAGACUACCACCUAGCCACCGUCGCUAUGGUCGACCACACUAUUGUCAUCUCCACUAUAGCUCCCCUCACCACUUUCCCCACUACUAAUGGAAGUCACAAAGCGAAAAAGCAGCUUGCAAGUAGCAUCGGUCAAAGAGGAUUAGGAAAUUAUUGGGGAAAACCUAGGAGAACAAGACAAUAUAGCCGAGAAAAAUUCUUUGGUGGGUUCAUCUAUCUCUCGUGUUGGAGGUGAUAAAUCCUUGCAGGAAGAGACCCAUGCCACUAUUACUGUUCACCCCCAACACAAUGUACGAAGAAGCACGUCGAAUUAAAGGGCAUGUCUAUCUCAGACUUGAGUAGAUCUAGUGAGUCAGGGCUUAAGGAAAGCAGAUCUGACCCCUUUGGAAGUAGAAUUGGAGGUAGAUAAGCUAGAGGUUCUGGAACAAAUCAAGGCAAUAGUGACUGUUACCA
RNAcentral lists this long non-coding RNA (698 nucleotides) under Olea europaea (common olive). Its description in RNAcentral is "long non-coding RNA (OEUR_LNC010406)". The record is from RNAcentral. Lineage: Eukaryota; Viridiplantae; Streptophyta; Magnoliopsida; Lamiales; Oleaceae.